UUUCUCAAACCCAUUGAACAUAAUGAUCGGACGUCAUCUCCCAAUUUUGAACUCCCUGUAUUCGAAGCAGACGAAGAUGAUGUUGAAGGGAUUCCUGAUGGUAUUUCCCGACUUCUUGAGCAAGAAAAAAAGAUCACUCAGCUGCGUCUCGAGAAUCAGCAGAACAGCCAACUGGGGCAUCAAAAAAAAACAAGCACAAAAA
This 202-nucleotide long non-coding RNA is filed under the name Lathyrus oleraceus (garden pea). RNAcentral describes it as "Pisum sativum (pea) long non-coding RNA (PSAT_LNC037477)". Lineage: Eukaryota; Viridiplantae; Streptophyta; Magnoliopsida; Fabales; Fabaceae. The record is from RNAcentral.